UCCAAGCCUGACAACGACUCUUCACGCACGACACUUGCCUUGCGUUCGUGACCUUGGUGUUGGGCUCGUCAAGGCUAUAAAAAACAUCACCUCAGCGCCUCCAACAUUUAACAGAGAAAAUGAAAGUUGUGGAAGUUGCCCUCGCCUCACUGUUAUCGACAAGGCGCCUCAAAAACAGACCCGUCACGGCAAGUUAAGGGGAAAUUUAUCAAGACGAAAAGAAAAGUUUGUUGGUGUUGUCUUCGCCUCGCCUUCGGCCGCCAAAACGCCACGAAAUAUUGCAAAACUUUUGUCUUUUAUCUUUUUAUCUUUUUAUCUUUUUAUCCUCAGGGGAUCUUUCUUUCGGACUACAGAGAUCGUUCUACGGCAGUGGUUCUGAAAGGUUUCACUACCACGCCCCCCUAGGAAUGGGUUCUUUCCUUCACACCCCCCUUGCGUAUAUAGAUAAAGAUCCCUUACAUAUUUUUUUUUUAACUAAUGGCAGGCCUAAGUAGAUUAUAGAAUUAAGAGGCGAUAAUUUUGCCUUUUUUUCAUAAACCUCAAUGAUAGCCCACGCUCUUUUUAAGACAGGCUACUAAUAAGUAUUCCAACAACUGAAAUUACAACUUUUCCUCAAGGGCUCGCUCACACCCUUGGAAAUUUUUAACGCCCCAAAGGAAAGCGCGCCCCCCAGUUUAUGAACUACUACCUGUUCUAAGGUGAUGCUAGCCAACACCACAUUGCUGUACACUAUGUAUCACAAGAAAAGUAAAAUAAAAAAGGAAAAUCCAAAAUGCAAACUGAAAAUUGAUAAAGCUUUGACUCACUAAUAAAAAAAGUGGAAGUAUUUCGUCUCGGGUGUCUUUCUUACAGAUGCGAUCAAACGAACUCGAAUAACGAAUGACUCGAAUAACUUCAUUAAAUGGGUAGAAUAAUGUGAUGUUAAAACGGAGAACACUAACAUGAUAGUCCUCCAAUGCCCCUCUGUAGAACAAUAUCAUGCAGAAUAUUAUAACGUAACACUAGAUUGUAGAAGAAUGUAGAAGAAUGUGAUGUAGAAUAAUCCUAUAAUGUACAAUGUAGAGCAAAGGAGAAUUAGGAAUAAUGUGAAGUAGAAUAAUGGAAUGGAAUGGACAACGUGGAGUAAUGUAGAAUGCAGAAUAAUGGAGGAUAAUGGCAUGUAGAAAGGUAAUGUAGAAUGUCAAAUAAUGUAGAAUAAUGUAGAAUAACCUUAUGCAACGUAACGCAGAAUGGAGAACUAUGUAAUGUAAUGUUAAUAAUGAAUGUAGAAUGUAGAAUAAUGAAAUGCAAAGUAGAAUAAUAAAUUGUAAUUUUUUUUUUUUUACAGCAGAGGACAGUGCAAGGGCGUAAAAAAAAAAGAAAACAAUAAUGAAAAAAAAAAGCCCACUAAUUUAAUAAUAUAAUGUUAAAACGGCGAGCUCUAAGAUGCUAAUCCUCCAAUAACUCUCUAAGCCACCCGUCUUUCAGCUUCGUAAUGAGUUCCUGCUCAAGUCCCGAACCUCAUUUCCUUGCACCUGUUUUGCUCAUGACCCGACGUCUCGUCCAUUCACACUCACAGCGUUUCCGGGGCAAUUACGGCUUUUUCCUCAUUAAUGAAUGGACCAGUUCUCAAAAGGGAGCCAAAGUUGGGCGAGUAAUAGUGGUCUGCUAUCUUUUUUACCACCAGCGAUAGUGCGGAUUAUAAACAAUGCCCAGCAGUGAUAGUCAAACCCAAAGGGCCGCGGUGCAGAUUAACACCUCACCGCCACCCUCUAAGUGCUCCCUUAACACCACCCUCCCUUUCCCUUUUGUCUCUAUUUUUAGCUCUCCCAAACCACCUCCAACCCUCCCCCCCCUCUAGUGUAGCCUAUUUAGUAUUAUAGUUUAUUGUAUUUUUAAUUUGUAUAUUUUCAGCCUAACGGCUGCCAUACAUUAAUAAACCUAUUAUUAUUAUUAUUAUUAUUAUUAUUAUUAUUAUUAUUAUUAUUAUUAUCAUAUACACACACACACACACAAACUCAAACAUUCAGAGGAUACCAACAGACUCAAAUAAAUAACCACGCACACAACAUAAACAACGAAACAUACAAAACAUUCAUGCAUAUACAAAUAAACGAAGUAACAAAAAACAAACAGGCAAACACGAGCACAAAUAAACAAACACUAACACGGAAACACACAAACACAAAUACACACACAAAAACAAACACAGCACACGCAAAGAAAUUCAGGUCAGUAAUUUUCUUUUCGUCGAGAUCAUGAUCGCAACAAAAAACAGGCGGGAUGCGUUCCGUUCGUACUGCGGCGGGUGAGCUGAAAUUAUUGAAACAAUUUGUGCCAGUAAAGGAUUGCGGUGUGUGUGUGUGUGUGUGUGUGUGUGUGUGUGUGUGUGUGUGUUUUAUAAUUCAAACAGCAAAAAACCUGAAUAUCGACGCAACAAUUGUCAGAACACGUAGUAUGUUAAGACAAUUUUAGGGAGUUUCUUACAUCCCUUGUCAGUCAACCAGGUACCAGUUUUCAAUAAAUCUGACGCCCAGUUCAUUAGUACGCGAGUUUCUCUGGUUAUUAGUUAGUGGGGCAAAGAGGUAGACAGAAUAUUUAAUAGUCAUCCCAUCUGUACAGCACGCAACCACCCAGCCACCUGCUCGGCAACACACACACACACACACACACACACACACACACACACACACACACACAGUUAACAAUGGCGCACAAAGACUCCCCACCACCACCAUCUGGCUCCGCUUACAGACAGUCGCCCUAUUACACCUGCACACCCGCACGCAGGUAACACCCCAAUCCGCGCUAAAAAUAACCCCGCACACCUGGCUCGAUGACAUUUAACGAGAUUGCCGGAGAUCUACCUUCCGUCUGGUCAGGGGCGGAUUGGUGGCCUUGAGAUAUAAAGAAAAAAUAAUAAUGCAAAUGAUUCCUAGAGAUUGCACUUGUUUAUUCACAGAGGAGACAGAACACACACACACACACACACACACACACACACACACACACACACACACACACACACAGAAAUAGGGACGGGGAGGAUAGUAACAUGCAAGCAGAUAAGAAAAGAAAGAAAGGAGGAAGAGAAAGGGGAUGAAAAAAAAGAAGCAACCAGUAAAGAAAGAAAACGAGGGGAAAUUGGGCUGUAUUACGCCUCUGUUGUGUUUCAUCCUUGGGGAGGCAAGAACUACAUGAACAAAAAAAAGGAAAGCCAAGAAACGCGAGAAAAAUGUAGAGAAAACAGAACACAACAACAUUUCCUCUUUUUUUUCUGUCUCUUUGGUGGGAGGAAAAGGAGGAAGCACAGGCAGAAAUAGAAGGAGGAGGAGGAGGAGGAGGUAAAACAUAUGAGAAAAUUAUUAAGAAAAUAGAGCAAGGUUGCACUUCCCUCCUCCAUCUUUCCCUUUUCCAUCUAGUUGAGGGGAUGAUGAUGAUGAUGAUGAUGAUGAUGAUGAUGAUAAGGAGGAGGAGGAGGAGGAGGAGGGGAAAUAAACGAGAGAAAAUUAUAAAGACAAAGAAAAUAGAGCAAUAUAGGACUUCCCUUCUUCAUCUAGUUAAUGGCUGGAGGAGGAGGAGGAGGAGGAGGAGGAGGAGGAGAUAAAAACAAAAAGGUAUAGUAGGGACGCAGGAAGAAGACUGCGGUGGGGAGAUGGAGAUAAGGAAGGAAGGUGGGGAGGCAGGGAGGAAGGAAGGGAGGGAGGGAGGGAGAGCACCUGGACUGGAGAAUACCUGUUUGAGCGUAUCGACUAGCUUGCACCCACCUCUGCACGCCCUCCCUGCCCCUCAAGGUCGUGCGUAUUAAUAGGCGAAGAGGAGCAGAAGAUGGUCAGCGCGAAAACCCGGUCGAGAAAUAUUCAGAACGGAAGGAAUACGAGGCAGGGCUUAACAUUUUUAUAUGAACUUUUGUUAUACGCAUUCUGAUAUAUUUGUUUAAUCGGAGUCAUUUAUUUUAUUUGUUAUUUUUUGGUAUUUUGAUUUUUUUGCUUAACCUUUGAAUCAGCCUUUUUAUUUUUUUCGUAUUCUUAAUUUUUGCUAAACUUCUAAUUUUUUAUGAGGUUUCGUUAUACGCAUUCUGAUAUAUUUGCUUAAUCUGAGUCAUUUUUUUAUGUUGUUUUUUGGUAUUUUGAUUUUUUUGCUUAACCUUUGAAUUACCCCUUUUUCUUUUUAUUCUUAAUUUUUGCUUAACAUCUAAUUCAACCUUUUUUAUUCAUUUUCGUAUUUUUACAUUUCGUUAACUUUUGACCUUUUUCUUUCAAGCUUUUUUUUUCUCUUAACCUGCGAAUCAACCAUUUUCUUCUUCGUGUUUUUUUUCGUUUUUUUUUUAUUUUUAUUUAUUUAUUUAUUUUUUUUUUUUACAUUUUGCGUUAACUUCUUACUGUUCAUUUUUCUUUCUAACUUUUCUUGGUAUUCUGAUUUUUUUUCUUGAUCCCUGAGGAAAGCUUUUUUGCGGUCUUACUCUUUUCGUAUUUUCUUAGUUUUUGCUUAUUAACUUCUGAAUCAACCUUUUCGGCUUAACCUCGGGAGCAGCCUUUACCUUUUUACCUCCCGUCGUAUUUUUAAACUAUCGCUUAAUUUCUAAAUCAACCUUUUCCACCUUUUUAUCUUUUUUUAAACUUUUUGCUUAGCUUCUGAACCAACCUUUUCAUUUUUAUCUUCCUCCAAUGUUUAAUCGCAUCGGUACUGGUUAUGUGGAAAUACACACAAAGCAAACGCACGCUUAUGCAAACAUACCUGCAUACAUACACACACAAAGCCAGGUGACACUUAUAACUAGUCACUUGGUGUAUACAUAUUCGUAUAUAGUAUAUCGUCACCUUCGUAAAGAGACCGCCUGUCAUUAUUUUCUACUUUUCAGGAAAUCAGAAAAAAAACUGUCAUCAUAUCAUUUGGCUUAAGAUUUAGCCAGAAAUGAAAAGGCCAAUUUUAGAACACUCAAACCCUGAAUAACGAAGGGAACUAUAUAAAAAUGGGCGUCACAUGUAGAAAAAUUGAUGCAGACAAAAACCUGGAAAUCGCUGAAAAAUGACUUUGGCGAUUAUUUGAUGAGGGUGACGAAAUACUGAUUUAUCAUUUUACACACACAAAAAAAAAAAAAAAAAAAAACCACCCCUUACGCCCACAAACUCGGGUACACGACAGCUUGCAAAUAUGAUAACGUACACCGAUUCCUAUACUACGAAUUCUUCUUAAUACCUCCCCGUUUCAUGUCUGGGAGUGAUUGUACAAGCACGAAUACACACUCUUGCCUGUGGCCCGUUCCUUCUUAUCUUGUAUUGCGGGAGUAAAGGUGGAGAGGUGAGGGCGAACAUGAAGGGAAGGGAGACGUUUGGGGGUAAGACAGGGGGUAAGGGAGAGGGAUAGCGGGUUGAAAUGACAGUAAGAGGGAGUGAGAGGAGGGAAAGGAGAGAAGAGGGUGGUUCAGGUGAGAAAUGGGAGAGGGGGCACUGGGAUAAGAUGAGGAAGUGGUAUAGUGAGGGAGAGGGGAAUAAUGAGGCUACACGAAUGAAGAGAGUAAGAGGGAGUGUGAGGAGGGAAAAGAGAGAAGAGGGUGGUUCAGGUGAGAAAUGGGAGAGGGGUCACUGGGAUAAGACCAGGAAGUGGUGGUGAGGGAGAGGGGAACAAUGAGGCUACAAAGAUGCCAGAGUGACGGAAUGGGGACAAUGCUUGGGGUGGCGAAUCAGGCUGAAGGACGGUGGAGAACUGACUAAUAAGGUCCAUAUUCUUAAACGUAUCGGGCUUUAAAAAUUAACCGGGUUUCCAUGGCCGAGUUUCCCGUUCCAGGCGCAGACGUCGUGAAAAACUAACACUAGGAUCCCAAAACAGUCCAUAAAAAUUCCAGCAACUUCUACGAGACUUUUCAAACAGGCGAACUGAGGUGCCGAUACGUUAAGAAUACGGGCUUAAGACGAGGGACUGUGGAGUAGCGUUGCCAGAUUAUCGUAUUCACCACAUUGUAUUUAUCUUUUUAAGCCUCAAACUCUCGUACCUGCACAAAUAACGAUAGAAAAUUAAAGUUAGCGUUAAAGCUGUUAUUUAUUGAUGCUCUUUUUUUUUCCUUUUUGCCAUAGUUAUCGGUCCGAAACUACGAAAAUACAAUGCGAUGAGGGAGGGACUUAAAGGAGUGAGGAUAGCAGGAUAAGGGUGAAGGGUUGAAGGUGAGGGACAGGAAUGAAGUGAGUGUUUAAGAAGGGUUGAAGGUGAGGGACAGGAAUGAAGUCAGUGAAUAAGAAGGGUUGAAGGUGAGGGACAGGAAUGAAGUGAGUGAAUAAGAAGGGUUGAAGGUGAGGGACAGGAAUGAAGUGAGUGAAUAAGAAGGGUUGAAGGUGAGGGACAGGAAUGAAGUGAGUGUUUAAGAAGGGUUGAAGGUGAGGGACAGGAAUGAAGUGAGUGUUUAAGAAGGGUUGAAGGUGAGGGACAGGAAUGAAGUGAGUGAAUAAGAAGGGUUGAAGGUGAGGGACAGGAAUGAAGUGAGUGAAUAAGAAGGGUUGAAGGUGAGGGACAGGAAUGAAGUGAGUGAAUAAGAAGGGUUGAAGGUGAGGGACAGGAAUGAAGUGAGUGAAUAAGAAGGGUUGAAGGUGAGGGACAGGAAUGAAGUGAGUGAAUAAGAAGGGUUGAAGGUGAGGGACAGGAAUGAAGUGAGUGAAUAAGAAGGGUUGAAGGUGAGGGACAGGAAUGAAGUGAGUGAAUAAAGGUGCCAGGUGAGAGAUGGCAAAGCGGGCAGCAUGUGUAAGAGAGCAAGAAAUAGACAUGAGGUGAAGGAGUCCAUGAAGGAGUUGACGUACGAGUGAGGAAGUCAAGAGGACAGAGAGCAUAGUUAUUUAUACUGUUCAACGCCUUCAUCCCACCACCACCACCACCACCAGAGCUCACUGCCAUCACCCUCAUCACUAUCCUCAUGCGGGCUGCCAACACCCCCCCCACUAAAAUCAACAUCACCACCACCCCCACUACAAUCAACAACAACCACCACGCAACAACGACAAACUCCACUACCAUGACUAUCCCUGCUGCCACCUACACCACUACCAAACUUUAACCUACUACAUCACACCACUACUUUAGGCGUCAGUAUCAUCACCACACCACAACCUAUACCACUACCAUCAUCACCACCCAUACCUAACAUCGUCACCACUCACCACCACCUACACCACUACCAUCAUUCAUCACCUAAUGCUGUCACCAUCAUCAACUCCGCCACCACCACCACCAUCAUCAUCAUCCACCCAUUCGCCUACCCCACCGUCACCACCACCGUCACCCUCCAUCACCACCCCUUUUGAACGAUGAUAAUACUAAGUGACUAAUGCUGGACGGGAGCCAUUAUGAACAAACUUGUCUGUUGGAGGGGUGGAGAGGGGGUGGGGGUGGAGUGUGGGGGGGAGGUGAGGGAGUUGGCGUGAGUAAGAGGAUAUGUAAAAAAAGGCAAAGGAGACCAAAAACAGUGUGUGUGUGUGUGUGUGUGUGUGUGUGAGAGAGAGAGAGAGAGAGAGAGAGAGCAUGGUGUUUACUGGGCUCCCACACGCACAGUAUUUUCGGAAUCAAGAGGAAGGAAAAGGCGGGAAUAACGAGCGAGUAUAACCAUAACGCAAUGAAAGAGAGGCUUCCUUGAACAAAAUUUUUAAAAAUGCCUCCUUGUACACACUAGAAAAAAGGACAAAAUAUGCUUCCUUUGCACACAAAAGAAGAAAAAAGAGCUUUCUCUUGCACACUAAAAAAGAGGAAAAGGCCAAAAAUGCUUCCUUUUGCACACUAGGAAAGAGGAAUAGACCAAAAAUUGCUUCCUUGAAUACGCUAAAAACGGAAGAGCAAAAAUAUAUUCCUCCACACGACACUAAUAACCAUGCGCACCACCACAGAAAAGCUUAUUUACGUGACAAAACAAUGAAACUCCUCAGCCUUCUGGAAAAAAAACUGACUUCGUUUUGUCAGGAGAAUGAGAAAACGGCGCCGCGGGUGUUUAUCUUAUAAGGCACAAGGUAGGCUUAAGCAAGGCAAACAAAGGAAACAGGCAACAUUUAAUUAGCAAGGUGGACCGUGGAUGUACUUGAGAAGACGAGGAGCGAGGGUAUGAAGAGGAGGAGGAUAAGGAGGAGGAGGAAGGGGAGAAUGAGCAAGGCGGCCAGCGUUACCAGAUUAUCGUACUCAGAGCAUCGUAUUUACCGGUUUCUGAUCCAUAACAAUUGUCAAGAAACACCAAUAAUUAACCAUUUUAUCGAUAAUUUUAUGUGAAUCCAGUUUUGGGGUGGAGGAAAGUUUUUAGGUCGGAAAUCGGCAAAGAUAAGUGGCUGAGUACGACAAUCUGGUAACGAUUUCUCAGACUCUUCCACUUCUCACUUAAACUAUUUCCAAAGGCCGACAAGGAGGUCAGUCGGGUUCUAAUGAGUGUUUCCUAAGGUUCACGAUACAGCAGAAGGGGCAAACUAUCACCGGGCUCAUAAAGCUACCAGUGGAAGUGCCCAAAACUCAUAGGAAAGCCUUGUCAAAUAUGUGUACUUCAGCGCCGUAAUGUUUAAGAAUACAGCCCUUGGAAAGAUUAAAGGAGAGCAAUUAUUGUAUCCUUCCAUCUUCUUCCUUCCUCGCCUCUUCCCUUAUCAUUUCUCACCCCUCCAAGACUAAUACUCCCCAGGAAAAAUUAUAUAUCAAAGUUAAUGACGAACACGGCCCCAAGGGAGAGAGAGAGAGAGAGAGAGAGAGAGAGAGAGAGAGAGAGAGAGAGAGAGAGAGAGAGAAAAUCAUCUACUCUUUUCGAUUACAGUGCUAUCAAUUCUCUGUCCACUUCCUCCUCCUCCUUUACCGCCCUUCCUCUCUCAACUUUCCUCGUUUGUCUAGGAAGCACAAGAAUUGAAGUUGUGGAGCCUCUUUGAGCGAGCUUUUUGUAACUUUCUUUCGCCUCUGAUGCGCUGAAAUCGGGUUGCCGGUGCGAGUUUAACGCGAAGACUUCCUUCCUGUGCACGCUGUUGUCCUUCCUUACAAAAGUUUCCUCCAGUUGGCACACAUUCUUCACACAACUCUUGGGUCAAUUUGUUUUCUUGUUAUCGGCUGGGUCCAUCCAUCUGUCGUUUCAUCUAUUUGGAAAUUUAUUUUAUCCUUUUUAUAUAAUAAAUUUUCUUUGAGUUUGUCAAUUAGCUAAGUACUUUCAUUGACAUUUUGCCGUUUUGUAUUUUUCAUCCACUCACUCAUCCAUCUUUGUACUUUUUAUCUUACUGUUUUCCUUUUUCAUCUUGUAAGCACUUUUCUUUGCCACUUUUGUCUUUUUUCUUCACAUCCAUUUGCUCAUCCAUGUUGCACUUAUAUUUUCGUUUUCUUUUUGUACUUUUCUUUACCAGUUUUGUAAUUUUUUCUUGCAUCCAUUCAUUCACCCAUCUUGUACUUUUUUUUUCUUUUCAUACUUUUCUUCACCAGUUGUCUUUUUCCCUUGCAUCCACUUACUCAUCUCUAUUUUUUUCUUUUCCUUUCCAUCUAGUACUUUUUUUCCUCCAGUUUUAUCUCUUUUCCUUUUCAUCCAUUCAUUCACCCAUCUUGUACUUUUUUUUAUACUUUUCUUCACCAGUUGUCUUUUUCCCUUGCAUCCACUCACUCAACUCUUUAUUUUUAUUUUACUUUUCAUCUAGUACUUUUUUUCUCCAAUUUUAUCUCUUUUCCUUGUCAUCCAUUCGCUCACCCAUCUUGUACUUUUCAUCCAUCUCUUCUAGGGUCUCAUCACUCUAAACAUUUCGUGCGUGUAUUCGUUAAAGCAACAAACCAACACGAAGUGGGAGAAGAUUGCGAGUUAAUAACAGGAAAAUCCGAUGACGCUGCUGACGGUUUUCCUCCACCGGUUCCUUGUGGCUUAUCUCUCCUGAAAUUACCUACAUCCGUCCUGCGCAGGCUCUCCACGCUGUACUUGUGUCGACAGGUUAUCUUGUGUUGUUGUUGUUUUUUAAUGUUUUUUUCAUUUAAUUCGUCUCUAAUCUACCCUUGUCGUAUCUUAAUUAUUUUGGACAGUCUAAUUUCAAGUCCUUUUCCUAAUUUAUUUAGUUUUUAGAUUCACUAUCUUUGUAACUCCUUUCUUAGGGCCGCUUUCACAGUCGUUUUGUUUGUUUUCAUCGUUACCAAUGGCGCUGAUCGACGCAAUAGUUUUCCACGUGAAACUAGCCUAUGGGGUAGUGGCGGCUGCAGAAGAAGCGAGAGGUGUUGAGAGUGUGUGGCUAGGUGCGGGGCAAGGCUAACCCCGCAGCCGCCACUACCCCAUCGGCCAGUUUUACGUGGAAAUUCUACAAGCUCUCAAGAAGACCUUGCGGUCGAAACGUUAGAGAAUACAAAGUGUUCCUGAUCCAGCCUGG
Long non-coding RNA from Eriocheir sinensis (Chinese mitten crab), 10310 nucleotides. RefSeq lists it as uncharacterized. The record is from RefSeq and is a predicted model, not a curated record. The transcript has 3 exons. Lineage: Eukaryota; Metazoa; Arthropoda; Malacostraca; Decapoda; Varunidae.